UCCACACUGUGGAAGCUUUGUUCUUUUGCUCUUUGCAAUAAAUCUUGCUACUGCUCACUCUUUGGGUCCACGCUGCUUUUAUGAGCGGUAACACUCACUGCGAAGGUCUGCAGCUUGACUCCUGAGCCAGCGAGACCACGAACCCACCAGAAGGAAGAAACUCCGAACACAUCUGAACAUCAGAAGGGACAGACUCCAGAUGCGCCACCUUAAGAGCUGUAACACUCACCGCGAGGGUCCGCGGCUUCAUUCUUGAAGUCAGUGAGACCAAUAACCCACCAAUUCCGGACAUAAUUGUGUAGAAAUGAGAGAGAUGUAAAUAGCUACCAAAGGAGAAUUGACAAGUCUGAGCAGAAGAAGCACAGAUAUCAAAAGGCAAAGGAGGAGGAAGACUUGGAAAAACAAAAGGUAGCGACUAAGUUGUCUGAGUCUGAUCUGACAUGAACAAAACAAACCAAGGUCUAUUCACAAUAGCCAAGAUGUGGAAACAACCUAUUAUGCCCAUCAACAGAUGACUGGAUAAAAAAAUUGUGGGAUAAUAUACACAAUGGAAUACUACUCAACCUUUAAAAAAAAGGAAAUUCUUCAAUACACACAACACGGAUGAAUCCUGAGAACAUGAUGCUAAGUUAAAUAAGCCAGUCACAGAAAGACAAAUGCUGCUUGAUUCCACUUGUAUGAGCUGUAAUCCCAAGCCAUCUCUAAGUAUGUUCAUUCUGGAGUCCAGACAUUCUGAAAACCAAAUGGAAGAAAAGGAGCCAAGGUGACUAAGAAGGAUCAGCCAGAAAGGAAUGAGGAAAAGCAGGAGUGCCCAGAACCUCAAAAGCUGAGAGAAAGUGAACUUCAAAGAACAGAAGUGCAUCUGGGUAGAUAUCCUAAAGACUUGAAAUCAGUAUGUGGAAGAGGCAUCUGCAUUGCUAUGUUCAUUGCAGCAUUAUUCACAAUAACCCAGAUGUUGAAUCAACCUAAGUGUCUAUCCAUAGAUGAAUGAAUGAAGGAAAUAUGAUCUGUAUACAUAAUGAAAUACUAUUCAGCCAUAAAAAAGAGUGAAAUCCUGUCAGUUGCAUCAUGGAACUGAAGGACAUAAUGGAAUACUAUUUAGCCUGAAAACAGAAUUCAUACUCCAAGCCCCACAAUACGCAAUAUACCUUUGUAACAAGCCUGUACAUGUACCCCUGAUUCUAAAAUAAAACCUGAAUAAGAA
Molecule: long non-coding RNA, 1204 nt
Filed under: Homo sapiens (human)
Lineage: Eukaryota; Metazoa; Chordata; Mammalia; Primates; Hominidae
Description: HSALNT0337871
Source: RNAcentral